UACGUAGGUGGCAAGCGUUAUCCGGAUUUACUGGGUGUAAAGGGAGCGCAGGCGGCCUGGCAAGCCUGAUGUGAAAUACCGGGGCCCAACCCCGGGGCUGCAUUGGGAACUGCCAGGCUGGAGUGCCGGAGAGGCAGGCGGAAUUCCUAGUGUAGCGGUGAAAUGCGUAGAUAUUAGGAGGAACACCAGUGGCGAAGGCGGCCUGCUGGACGGUGACUGACGCUGAGGCUCGAAAGCGUGGGGAGCAAACAGG
This 253-nucleotide ribosomal RNA is filed under the name uncultured bacterium. Its description in RNAcentral is "partial 16S ribosomal RNA". It matches the Rfam family "Bacterial small subunit ribosomal RNA", at positions 524 to 776 of the family's 1533-position model. The record is from RNAcentral.